Long non-coding RNA from Tympanuchus pallidicinctus (lesser prairie-chicken), 6952 nucleotides. RefSeq lists it as uncharacterized. The record is from RefSeq and is a predicted model, not a curated record. The transcript is spliced from 6 exons. NCBI's taxonomy places the organism in Eukaryota, Metazoa, Chordata, Aves, Galliformes, Phasianidae.
UAAACAUGGCGGCGGGAAGCGAGGGCUGCGUGCUGCGGCGCGGCUUGAUGGGAGCUGUAGUUCCCGCCGCACCUCUAAAAAGGCUGGGCAUAGGCAGACGCUGUCCUGUGGGAUCAUUUGGUUGCUGCUUCUUCUCAAGGUCAUGUGGAGCUACUGAAUUGGGCAAAACAACUGCAGGAGAUCUUGGAGUUCAGUCCUGAUGAAAUCCUGAAUCUGCCAGAAAAAGGAUACAGAUGAAGUAGGUGCAUCAAUCUGCAGGCCUGAGCACAGGGUUUGCAACCGUUGCCACCAUUCCUGUUCAGAGCUGCCUUCCUCUCCUUCACCUGCUCUUCCAUUCUGAGGUAGGAGCCACUCUGUGGGCCCUGGGGGAAUGGAAGUGACGAGGAUUUCCAUCAGCUCGAGUCGACAUGGAAGGAUGUGACUUGCUGUACAGAGUGAUGGAGGAGUCGGAGUGGUGUUAUGGCUGAAGACCCUAGGCCUGGGGAGAGGAGAAGAAAAGUGGGGAGAGCUGUUCUGGGAUCCCAGCUCUUCAUUUGGCCCCUGUUAACAUGAGCAAGUUACAUCCCUGCUCCCAAUCUCCUCACUCUCUUCUUCACGUGAGUUGCUUAGGGCAGGAACUGUUUCUCAUUAUGCUGUUGUGUCUUGUAUGGGGAGGCCUUGACCUUGGUGGGGGCACCAAUCAUUACUGUUACACAAAUGCCAGAGGAACAAAGAAUUAUGGAAUCAGAUAGUCACAGAUAUCAGUUUGUCCCUUUCUGGAUUUUUAUUCCUUUGUCUCCUCCUCCACAAGAAUGGAUUUGACACAGGGAACGUUGAUUCCUCUGUAGCACUGCCACAUCUCUCCUUUUCUCCCCAUUCAAGUCCUCCUUGAAGCAAGUGAAAAGAUUCCCACCAAAAUACACUGGAAAUGGACCGGGCUCUUCAAAGGCAAGAAGCACAGUUUUGACAUUGUUUAGAGUAUACUGGGAGCCCAGCAAGGUCACCCAUUCUAUUUCAAGGCUAGAUGUUUGAUAGGGGAGGUUUCCCACAAUGCUUGUGUCCACAGAGGCUCAAUAUGUCCAUGCCACCCUCUCUGGCUAGUGCAGGCUUAUUCUUCCCCUCCUACAUUUGCAGGUGGGGUUUCCUGAGUGCCCUGCUGAGCAUUGGUGUCACAAUGGCUAGCAGAGCAUGGAAGGAGUGAGCUGUGGAGAGGCUGCCAGGAGCUUCCCAACCCAUGCGAAAGUUGCUGUUUCCUUCUUCCCGGUGUGUGCUGCCAAGCAAGCUGCUUGUUAUGCUGAGGCCACAAUAUUCUUCAACAUCAACAGUGUCUGGGGUAAGUCAACACUUUUUCUGCUAAGAAUUACCAGAGGAAGAAAAGCAAUGCAUACAUUCCCUUCCUGUGCAGUAUGACAGCAGUGGUGGUCACCGAGAGUACUGCUGGCUGCUCUGUUCUAUGGUAGGCAGAGUGCAUGAGUGGGCAGCAGUAGCACUCAGGAAUGUGUCGUUCCCCUUGCUAGCAGAAGUUCAUAAGAUGAGAGUGUUGAGAAUGAGACCCUUGAAGAGAGAAGCUGGAAGGGCUGGAACCAGUCUUUUCUUUUCCUCUGGGAGGUGGCACAGCAUGUUCUGGAUAAUCACUUCAUGCUGCUUGGGAGUGGUGCGUAGCUUAGUUUCUCUUUAGUAGUCUUAAUUGUGUGUUAAGGUGCCUAGAGCCUUAUACUGGCACCUUUAUUUAUUUAAAUACAAAUGAAGAAGGCAUUAAAUCAAUUGUUCUUUUCUCUUUGCUCUCUCUUGUCCUAUGGUUUCUAUCAAGUACUCCUAACUGUAUGAGGCUUCUGCUUUUUCAGGUGAAUCAGGUACACCAAACAAGAAUCCCAGCCUUGAUUUCCUACAGACUAAGGGAAGGGAAGCUGCUCUGAGGCAGCACACCUUACAUUGCUGUUCAUCUUAUGCUGCUGUUUCAUUUAUAUUUCAGGGCACUUCCUAACCUUUGCUGAGCAAGGCUUCAGUCUGUUACCCCCUGCCUGCCCAACCUUCCUGCAAUGCAGAAAUAAACAAAGAAAAAAGCUGUGCCAUAUCCCAUUAGUUGAGAUCAAAAUACAGUUCUCUUAUCCCAUCAGCUGCGCUGCUUUCAGCUGGAUGUGCCAAAUCUAUGUGACUUGCUUGCCCCAUCUAUUAUAUUAAUCUCUAGGUCCUAAAGUUAGAGGGGAAACCUGGGAUUCCUGGAUUUUGUCAUUCUCCUUGAACAGAAAGUUUGUAACUGAAUGGCAAACGAGGCCCUCUCUUCUUGCCAAACUCCGUAAAAGAUAAUUACUGCUGGAGUUCAAGUGGUGGCAUGUUUUGCAAGAGAUCUAGAAGCCUAGUAUGCAACCUUCCAGAUAGACACUAAUUGUGCCUAUGAUUACCCUCCUCCUUUUUUUGUUCUCAGCAAUUUAAUAAAUUCACACACUGAAAACUUGUUGGAAAACUAAAAUGUCGUUCAAAAAUCUGCUUAUUGCGGUGUAUCGGAGAACACAAUACCUGUAUUCUGAUUUUGAGUCAUCUGUGAAGCUUAUGGACUGGUGGACUCACAAGCUGAGAAGUUUGCUUAUGGUAAUUAGGUGAUGGUAGCAUGAUGAAGGCAGAUUUGCAGGUUUCCAGAGGUGUGACUAUAUAUCUGUGCUGAGGAGAGGUCAGAGCAAGGGACACUUCAUUAUGGAUUGGAUUCCCUCUGAUGGAAGUCCGUAAGUUUCCUCUUAAGCACUGACUUUUCAUUGUGGUGAUGUCUCCUACAGAUGGAUGCAGGCCUCUUUGCCUGGCCUAAAUUCUAUAGUACUUACCUCAUUACUCUCCUAAUGAUGAGCUGACAAAUGCUUUUGCUUGAUUUACUGGUGACAUUACAGGUGUUUGGAACACUUGUCAGUACCUUCCUACUACAUGUCUAAUCUUUCAAACAGUGAGAUGUGCUAGCUUCCUUCAUAAAAUGUCCUUCUGCAUUUAACUGCCAUGGGCUUUAUUGCAUGCACCCAAAACUUCCAGAGCUCUGCCUUAAGAUGCCCCCCUCCAGAAAAAAAACAGCAGGCACUGUGUGCAGAUGUUGACAUCACUGGACUUUGGAUAAGGAGAAAUGGGUGAAGAAAUAGCAGAAAUGGGUGAAGAAAGAGCAGCCUUCCAAUUGCUUGUGGAACCAUGGUGGUACAUCAUCAGUCCUGAGAUGGGUCAGAACAGAGUCCUCAUCCCACCAAGUUCCUGGGUGCAACAGUCUGCAGCACAGGUUUGUGUUCUGCCUUCUGCCUCUCCUGUAUUUCUCAUUUUAAAGCAGAAAAGGGUGUUUGCUGGUCAGACUCCCAGAGAAUGGACUUUACUAAACCCUGUAUAAGUAGAGUGCUGAGUUCAAACAGGGCAAUUGGGUAGAGCAAGCAGGACAGGUGAGAGAUCUCUAGGCAUCUCACAGCAAUGGAAGAGGAACUGCUUGGAAGGGGAAGAACAUCCACAUUUCGCGCACAUUUCUUCCCCAGUUGGGCAGAGCUCUUACUGCUCUUCUUCUGGUUGUGUUGCUAGGAGAGGAGUGCUCUGCCCUCCUUAUGGCUAUGAAUAGCUCGCUCUUGUUUAUUCAGCUCAGCUCCGCCUGCUGGUUACAACCACAACCGGCACCAUCUCAUUGCAUGACACCACCAUAAAACAAUGCAACUGCAACAGGAACAAUCCCUCCCCCCUCUACUCCCCCCCCUCCCGCCUCUGGCUAUGAAGGCUUAAGAACACCUUUAUAGUGCACUGCUUCAGAGCUGUCCUUUCCCUCCUCUUCCCGUACUUCACAGUGCAUCCCCUCUGCUUCCAGCAGAAAGGUCUCUAAAAGCAGCUGAACGGUGCGCUCUCAUUCCCAGAGAGCAAGACUGAGAGCCAGGACCUGCAAAUCAGGGCAUUAUCUCGGAAAUCUGGCUUGAAAUAAGUGCACGAUCAUUUCAGAGUCCUCCUCUGGUAUUCCAGUGUUUGAGGCUUUUGGGAACUAGAAAAGUGACUUUUCCUUUUUUAGUGAAAGCUGAGAUUCUUGCAUAAACCCAUGAAUCCAGCACCAGGGACUUUAAGAAAAGGAACAGAUGGUUUGAAAAUUGGCAAUAAUGGGAUUUCUGAGGUUUUCUUAAGAAUAUUUUAUCUGAGGUCUGACCAGGAAUGAAGCAUCUAUGGCAAUGGCAUUAGGCUGCAUUGACAGAGGAGAAAACUAAUGGGGCUGAGUAAAAGACCCCCCAAAGUGCAGUAAAAUGUGACCAAGUACAACAUUUCAAAACCUCUGCUACAAGGGACAGAGGGACAGCCAACAUGCACGACCAGCUGAUGCGCUGUGAGGAGGGAUGUGUACGUGUGGACAAGCAGAGCCACACCAGUUCAGAGGAACGUUUGCUCAAGAACCCCUAUCUUUCUGAGCCACCUGGGCACUCAGCUAAGAAGAACGAGCACGAGGUGAGGCAUAGCAGCAGAGAGCAGAAGAGGUGUGAACGGUUGCUGCACAGGUACAGGUGAAUCAAUCUGUCUUUUUCAGCAUGGUGAGCUUCCACGUGUGCAUAUUUCCCCGGACUUCUCAUCUUUCUCUACCUGGGAACUUUGUUGGGGUGAAAUUGGAAUAUCAGAGUUUCCACAUGCCCAUCGGGUCUGUCAGAUAGCUGGGCUGCUGAACAUCCAGAAAUUCAGGAUAGGUCAAUCGCACGCCGGCGAGGUGAACUGUGUAGCAUACAAGCGCUGAAACACAACGCCUAACGAAUCCCCACACUGUCAGACCUGCUGUGCGGGUGAUCUGCCUGUGUGCCUUGCAGAGGUGUCUGGUCUACUGGGCAUGCACAGGUCUGUAUGGUGCAAGUGUGUGUACUCCUGUUUGGGACACAAGACAAGCACAAUACUAUUGUUUUUUUACUCAUUCUUGAUACAUUUGUAGAGGAGGUGGGAGAUGAAUGCUUCAGUGCAGUGGAAAAAGGAAGCAGGUAUGUAUGUAAGCUAGACUAUCUCACUGUCUGCCUCUUUACAGGAGCCAUCUCAUCACUUUAACUAGAGUUGGGGUCCUAUCAUACAAGAUAGUGUACAUGAACAUGCAGAAAAUGUUUUAUCUCUCUCCCCCCCAAGCAAACAAACUCACCAAACAUCAUACAGUCUGAAUUAACAGAAGUGGCAGUAAGGGAUAUUAUAAUUCCUACUUGACAGACAGGGAAAUUAAUCCCAGAUAUGAGUCAAACAAAGCUCUUGAUCUCAUGAAGCAGGAUUCAGAUGAAUUUCAGAUACUUGUGAGCAAGGUAUGAUGCUGCAAAGCCUUGCUCAGCUGAUGCCUAGUUCUGGGAAUGCCCAGAGCCCUCAGGCCCAUCCGCUUUGACUGUGAGACCCCUGGCUUCAGCAGCUCUGCUCUGUACUUGUCCUCCUGCUUGACAAAGCUUAGCACAGCAGCAGGCGAAUCCAGAAACAAAAUGCUUCUGUGCCUCCAAGAGCAUGCCUCCAGGAUGGGCACUGUACAGAAUCGCUAGGCUGAUGCUUCCUGGUAAGGUGCAGCAUCCAGCCAGGUUAAAGUACUCCUGGAAGAUUCAGAAGCCCCAGCCUGUGCUGCCUGUUCUGCCCCUGGCGUUUCCAGUCUGUGUCUCCCGUGGAAGUGCUCCAGCUUCUGAGCCGCGCCUGUUUGAGGAGAGAGGGCAUGCUUACCUCUCCUGCCAACGGCGUUGUGGCUUCCCUAGGCAUACACUGGGGUGGAAGCAUCUGCAGGGAUCAGCACCCUGCUUGUUCCGCGUUUCACCUGAGGAGAGGGGGAUGCCCACGUCCCAGUCCACCCUCAGGUGACCGCUUCUGAAUUUUAUCUCGCAUCUCUUUAAUGUAAAAUUCAGAGACAAGCACCCUGCGAAGGGACCUGUGUUUUCCUUCGUAAGUGGAGUGCCGUGAGAUCAAUGAGAUUAAACAUGUGCUUACACGCUGUCCUGAAUUGGGGCCAUGAGGAGAGCAAUGGGAAAGUAAACAGAAGAGAAACGUUAUGGAAAUGAAGGAAGAGGGAAAAUCCACCCUGCCAGGAGCGGCAGCUCUCAUCAGCUGCAAGAAGACAUGGUCUCAUCCAGGGCUGGUUAGACUCUAGCAGGUCUAGGGGCUGGCAGAGAGGACGAAGUCAUCUUCACUGAGGUACAAAAGCAGCCUAAAAAGUGAGACUGGGAGCGGCCAAGAGAGGCUGUUUCUGCUGGGUGCAGCCUUCCUAGACAAGGUGAGUUUAGCCCUGGGUUGUUUUUUCCCAUUAGCAGAAUGUGGAUCUGAAAAUAAUCAGGCUUCAACCUGGCAGCCUGGGGAGGUUUGUUCUCCCUUAAAAGACUGUAUGAAAAGAUGUAGAAAUCCUGAGCUUUUUAGGAUGGCUCGAGUGGACCCCAGCCUUUAUGGCACCCUGACAAGACCCAGGUCCCUCAUUCAGAAACAAACUGUGCUCAGCUCCACUCAGGGCAGAAUUCCGGCACCGUGAAGUGGCUUUGGUGUACAGAGAUAUGGAGCCUUUGUGCACAGUGGUUUUCCAGCCUGGCUGCGCUUCCCCCAGCCCGUUCCUCUCUCCAUCUACAGCCAUUCUUGGUCACAGUCUUUCUUCCUUGCUUGACCUUCAUUUCUCUUUCCCAGGAAACACAUCAUUUGCAUCUGUCCUAGUAUCCGAACUGCAAAUUGGACCUGAUUAAAAUUCUUCACAGAGCAACAUGGACUAGUACAGAACUUCUAUUAUUCUACGACUCAAUAAAACUUUAGAGUUUCGGGAGAUUGCUGGAGCUCUGUGUUUGGGAGGUGACUUCACUGUUGGUCUCUUAAAUUCAGAACCAUGCAUUCUCCUUUCUGUUGCAUUUUUGCAAGAUGACCUUGGUAGGUCACUUUGUCUGACUGACUUUGUUUUACCCCUCGUUAAAUUUAGAUAAAAAUACUUGCUCAAGUUAGUGAAGUGUCUGCUAUCGUUGGACAAAAAAGCUAUCUAAAUGGCGAUUAUUGUGAUUAUAAUAAUUAUUAAAUG